Oxyura jamaicensis (ruddy duck) is the source of this 1048-nucleotide long non-coding RNA. RefSeq lists it as uncharacterized. NCBI's taxonomy places the organism in Eukaryota, Metazoa, Chordata, Aves, Anseriformes, Anatidae. The transcript is spliced from 2 exons. The record is from RefSeq and is a predicted model, not a curated record.
AUUAAAACAUGUCAGACCUUAUUUCCUUUUAAACUGAAUUAGGCCACACCUCACUCAGUCUUUGUUUGCAAUUUGUAUCUAAUUUGGAGACACUUACCUCUCUCCUAAAAUAGCAUGCUGGGAACCUGGGUGCUAGACAGAAGUCUGUGGUUCCAGGGUGGGAUCUCAGGGAGUAAAACACCAGGUUCUGCAGCAUUUCUGGGGCCAGCUGAGGUCACUAAAGAUCCCUGAUAAGAGCCUGAGUACACACCCAUUGUUUUCUUAUAUGGCUGUAAAAUGGCUUCAAGAACAUUUCUUCAAAUUCUACAAAUAAGUGAAUCGAGGCCUACAGCACGAAAGGUUGUAAAAUAUAUUCAUCUUGCAGUUUUCAGAAGACUACACACAUUCUGAGAAUAUCCAUCAUUAUCAUAACUAAGGAUGAUUCAUUUUCAAAAUGACAUUAAAGUUUGUUUCUGUGCUAAAAGGAUAUUGUGACUGUUGAAUAUCAAAUAUAGAGAAAGAGCAAAAUCACAGGAUUCUUCUGCCUGUCUGCCAUUAAAGGCCAUUAUUUUUGUAAUGGUGAGAGGCAGGAUACUGCUUAGGUGAACGGUGCCUAUGAUAAGGUUGGUUAUUCCUGUCCAUUACACAAGUGAGAGAAUUGUUGUAGCUGGAAUAUGUCUUACUCUCUAAACUGUGUACUUGUCCACACUGAGCCAAAAAAGUCCAUGAUAUGGGGCAUGCUUCAGCCACUGUUGUCCUAGAGCAGCCAGGUACCGGCAGAGAACUCCAUCUGAAGUAGGUGAAGAAGAGGAUGGGAAAUAACCCCUUUCCGUUGGCUCUCCCAUAGCAGUUCCUUGUCUGCUCUGGAUCCCUGGUAGAGACAGGAAGGGUUUUUGAGGUUGCCACCUUGAAAUAUGUAACUCCCCAAGAAUGGGGUGUGCUAGGAGAAAGGCAUGAUCUGUUGUGGAGUCUGUAGUCACUGCAAGGAUCAGAGACAAUGCACACAGUUAUGCAAUCAUUAUGAUGUAUCUGUUAUAAUGGCUUUUAAGUCUUUUACUAGCACCAAACA